RNAcentral lists this ribosomal RNA (503 nucleotides) under uncultured bacterium. RNAcentral describes it as "partial 16S ribosomal RNA". It matches the Rfam family "Bacterial small subunit ribosomal RNA", at positions 29 to 523 of the family's 1533-position model. The record is from RNAcentral.
AACGAACGCUGGCGGCACGUUUUAAGCAUGCAAGUCGAAUGGCAGCAGGGGCAACUCUGUGAGAAUGGCGAACGGGUGAGUAACACGUAGGUGAUCUGCCUUGAGGAUGGGGAUAGCCUGUGGAAACACAGGGUAAUACCGAAUAAGCUGACGGGACUUUGGUUUUGUUAGUAAAGGUGCUACGGCACCGCCUUGAGAGGAGCCUGCGGCUGAUUAGCUAGUUGGUGGGGUAAAGGCCUACCAAGGCGACGAUCAGUAGCCGGCCUGAGAGGGUUUACGGCCACACUGGGACUGAGCCACGGCCCAGACUCCGACGGGAGGCAGCAGCUAAGAAUCUUCCGCAAUGGGCGAAAGCCUGACGGAGCGAUGCCGCGUGAUCGCUGAAGGUCGAGAGAUUGUAAAGAUCUUUUCUACAUGAGGAAUAAGUCUGGGAGGGAAUGCCUGGAUGAUGACGUUAGUGUAGGAAUAAGCCCCGGCUAAUUACGUGCCAGCCGCCGCCGUAA